AUCCUGGCUCAGGAUAAACGCUGGCGGCGUGCUUAACACAUGCAAGUCGAACGGAGUGGUUCUCCCGAGGAUUGAUGGUGCUUGCACCUGAUUGACUCAUUGAAUCACUUAGUGGCGGACGGGUGAGUAACGCGUGGGAAACCUGCCCUAUACUGGGGAUAGCAGUUGGAAACGACUGAUAAUACCGCAUAAGCGCACAGGAUCGCAUGGUCUAGUGUGAAAAACUCCGGUGGUAUAGGAUGGUCCCGCGUCUGAUUAGCUAGUUGGUGAGGUAACGGCCCACCAAGGCGACGAUCAGUAGCCGGCCUGAGAGGGUGUACGGCCACAUUGGGACUGAGACACGGCCCAAACUCCUACGGGAGGCAGCAGUGGGGAAUAUUGGACAAUGGGGGAAACCCUGAUCCAAGCGACGUCGCGUGAACGAUGAAGUAUUUCGGUAUGUAAAGUUCUAUCAGCAGGGAAGAUAAUGACGGUACCUGACUAAGAAGCACCGGCUAAAUACGUGCCAGCCGCUGC
This 516-nucleotide ribosomal RNA is filed under the name uncultured bacterium. RNAcentral's name for it is "bacterial SSU rRNA". It matches the Rfam family "Bacterial small subunit ribosomal RNA", at positions 16 to 518 of the family's 1533-position model. The record is from RNAcentral.